RNAcentral lists this non-coding RNA (810 nucleotides) under Cerceris sp. SJW-2017. The record is from RNAcentral. Lineage: Eukaryota; Metazoa; Arthropoda; Insecta; Hymenoptera; Crabronidae.
AUAAAAUAUAAUUUAAGUUUAUGUAUUAGUUAUAUAAUUUAAUUUAUAUAUAAAUUUUUAUAAAAUUAUUUAUAAUUAAAAAAUAUAAUUAAUAUAUAAUUAUUUAUAUAAAUUAAUAUUUAUAAUUAAAAUUUUAAUUAAGGUUAAUAUUAGAAAUUUAUAAAAAAUUUAAAUUAAAUUAGUGCCAGCAAUUGCGGUUAAACUAUUUAAAUAAAUUAAUAAAUAAAAUAAGUAAAUUUAAAUUAGAAUUUAUUGAUAAUUAAAAAUUAAUUUUUAAUAUUGUGAAAUAAAUAUAAAAUUUAUUUAUAAAUUAUCUAUAAGUAAUUUAUUAUUAUAUAAAUUAAGUUUAUAAACUAGGAUUAGAGACCCUAUUAUUUAUAUGAAAAUUAAAAUUAUUUGAAUAAUAAAUGUAAAAUCAUUAAAAUUAUUAAAUUUGGCGGUUUUUUAAUCUAUUUAGAGGAACUUAUAAUAUAAUUGAUAAUCCACGAUAAGAUUUACUUUAAUUUAAUUUAUGUAUUGUUGUUUAUAGAUUUUAUUUAAUAUUUAUUAAAAUUUAAAUAUUUUAUAAUUUUAAAUAUAAAAUAAAAAUUCAAAUCAAAAUGUAGUAUAUUAAAGAUUUAUAUGAGUUACAAAUAAUUAUAUUUAAGGAUAAAUUUUUUUAAUAAUUUAUAAAAAAAGGAUUUAAUAGUAAAUUUUUAAAAUUAUGAUAAUUGAAAUUAGUUUUAGAAGAUGUACAAAUUGCCCGUCAAUUUCAUUAUAAGUGAAAUAAGUCGUAACAAAGUAAGAAUACUGGAAAGUGUUCUUGGAAUU